UGAGGAAUAUUGGACAAUGGGCGCAAGCCUGAUCCAGCCAUGCCGCGUGCAGGAAGAAGCAUCUAUGGUGUGUAAACUGCUUUUGUACGGGAAGAAACACUCCUUCGUGAAGGAGCUUGACGGUACCGUAAGAAUAAGGAUCGGCUAACUCCGUGCCAGCAGCCGCGGUAAUACGGAGGAUCCAAGCGUUAUCCGGAAUCAUUGGGUUUAAAGGGUCCGUAGGCGGUUUAGUAAGUCAGUGGUGAAAGCCCAUCGCUCAACGAUGGAACGGCCAUUGAUACUGCUAGACUUGAAUUAUUAGGAAGUAACUAGAAUAUGUAGUGUAGCGGUGAAGUGCUUAGAUAUUACAUGGAAUACCAAUUGCGAAGGCAGGUUACCAUGUCUUAACUGACGCUGAUGGACGAAAGCGUGGGGAGCGAACA
Molecule: ribosomal RNA, 422 nt
Filed under: uncultured bacterium
Lineage: Bacteria
Description: bacterial SSU rRNA
Rfam family: Bacterial small subunit ribosomal RNA
Source: RNAcentral